AGGGAGACCUAAUUCGGGUAGAAGACGAAAAAAUAGUAGUCGAAACCAAGAAUCAAUCCCAAAAGGUCGGAACGAGGUAUGUGGCUUUCAAACUAGGUUCUGGGUUCACAAAAGACCUGAAUCAGGAACAAGGGCUAUUAGCUCAGGUGGUUAGAGCGCACCCCUGAUAAGGGUGAGGCCCCUGGUUCGAGUCCAGGAUGGCCCACCUGCACAGGUGGCAAAAACAAGAGAAACGAGGAAUCAGCACCUUAUCUUACUUACAUAGUAAGAGAGAAUGCUGGCUCUGAGUAAAGAGUCCAGAGGAACCUUGAAAACUGCAUAGAGCUAGGUGAAAAAGCCAAAAAAGAAGACCGCAA
Molecule: transfer RNA, 356 nt
Filed under: uncultured Microcystis sp.
Lineage: Bacteria; Bacillati; Cyanobacteriota; Cyanophyceae; Chroococcales; Microcystaceae
Description: partial 16S-23S ribosomal RNA intergenic spacer
Rfam family: tRNA (bases 132-205)
Source: RNAcentral